Molecule: ribosomal RNA, 373 nt
Filed under: uncultured eukaryote
Lineage: Eukaryota
Description: partial 18S ribosomal RNA
Rfam family: Eukaryotic small subunit ribosomal RNA
Source: RNAcentral
CAAUAGCGUAUAUUUAAGUUGUUGCAGUUAAAAAGCUCGUAGUUGGAUUUCGGUUGAGAACGGCCGGUCCGCCGUUUGGUGUGCACUGGCUGGUUUCAACUUCCUGUAGAGGACGUGCUCUGGCUUCACGGCUGGACGCGGAGUCUACGUGGUUACUUUGAAAAAAUUAGAGUGUUCAAAGCGGGCUUACGCUUGAAUAUUUCAGCAUGGAAUAACACUAUAGGACUCCUGUCCUAUUUCGUUGGUCUCGGGACGGGAGUAAUGAUUAAGAGGAACAGUUGGGGGCAUUCGUAUUUCAUUGUCAGAGGUGAAAUUCUUGGAUUUAUGAAAGACGAACUUCUGCGAAAGCAUUUGCCAAGGAUGUUUNCAUUAA